Molecule: ribosomal RNA, 105 nt
Filed under: uncultured bacterium
Lineage: Bacteria
Description: partial 16S ribosomal RNA
Rfam family: Bacterial small subunit ribosomal RNA
Source: RNAcentral
CCUUGUACACACCGCCCGUCACACCAUGGGAGUCGAUUGCUCCAGAAGUGGCUAAGCCAACCCGCAAGGGAGGCAGGCCCCAAGGAGUGGUUGGUAACCGGGGUG